CUGCAAAUGAAUAGAUCUUACUUUUAGUCUCUUUAGUCCAGGACACCUCACCUUCUAGCUGAGUGCUGACAAUUUGAACUUAAAAUCAGUUUUCUCUCUCUGUGCUCCAGGUAUGAAACACACAUCUGGUAACUUUCCUGUCGGUACCUGUCAGUACCAUGGCUACAACCAAAGGAAAAGAAGGACCUUUCAGAUGGGAAGGAAUGCCAAUUUGUCCCUGGUGGAGCCAGCAGUGUCUGCCAGCUCUCUGCUCAGCACAGGAAUAGCCAGAGGGCUGGGAUGGAUGCGUUGGUAAUGCAACACGUGGACUGUUUGUUUGGAGAACUCAAACGAAAGCAGGCAAUUUACAGGAUGAAUUUCCAUAUUAAUAAUACACUCAGUUCCUUGCUGAGAGGCAUAAACUCAUUCAGAGAUGACCCUUGCCUACUUGAAUAUCAAGGCUGCUGUCAAAUCUUGCUGGUCUUUUUCCUCUCCACUCUGGAAGGCUACAAGUCCAGAACCCAAAUGAGUUUGGAUAGUAAAGGUCAGAAAAAAAAUUAA
RNAcentral lists this long non-coding RNA (540 nucleotides) under Cyanistes caeruleus (blue tit). RNAcentral's name for it is "lncRNA (ENSCCEG00000010820.1)". Lineage: Eukaryota; Metazoa; Chordata; Aves; Passeriformes; Paridae. The record is from RNAcentral.